This is a long non-coding RNA of Helianthus annuus (common sunflower), 537 nucleotides long. RefSeq lists it as uncharacterized. The record is from RefSeq and is a predicted model, not a curated record. The transcript has 3 exons. NCBI's taxonomy places the organism in Eukaryota, Viridiplantae, Streptophyta, Magnoliopsida, Asterales, Asteraceae.
CUUCAAACAUCUUCACAAAACGCUUUCUUCCUCUCUUCCGCCACCAAACCCCACCGCCUCUUCAUCCGCCGCCACCAAACCCCACCGCCCCUUCACCCACCGCCCAAACACUCUCUGUUGCCGUCGCGGCUUUUCGGGUCGCCGGAGGGACGGCUCGGCCGUCCUUCACCACCGUGAAUUCAAUUCAGUCGACUCUAAUUGCAGAAAUACUUCAACCGGUUCAAGUUCUAUACUGUGGUGUUUGCAUUUUACCCGCCGAGUAUUGUGAAUUUGGUGCCGAUUUUGAAAAAUGCAAAUCCUGGUUUAUCUGAAAUACACCCCAACUUUAUCCCGAUUUAUUCAAGAAUCAAAUUUGGGCUGAUGGAAUUUCAGAUCAAUUAUAAUGUCUUCGAUCACUUAUGGCACUGAACCUUCAGAGAGAAGGCAGAGAGUGUUUGGUGUGCUAGGGUUUAAAAUGAAAGAGAUGGUUGUAUAAACAAAGUUCGUGCAGACAUUAUCAAUUUAUAAAACCAAACAGUCUUAUAUUUUCAGCUUGCA